UCCGGGCACGGUGGCGCGUGCCUGUAGUCCCAGCUACUCGGGAGGCUGAGGUGGGAGGAUCGCUUGAGCCCAGGAGUUCUGAGCUGUAGUGCACUAUGCCGAUUGGGUGUCCGCACUAAGUUCCGCAUCAUUAUGGUGACCUCCUGGGAGCAGGCGACCACCAGGUUGCCUAAGGAGGGGUGAACUGGCCCAGGUCGGAAACAGAGCAGGUCAAAACUCCUGUGCUGAUCAGUAGUGGGAUAGUGCCUGUGAACAGCCACUGCACUCCGGCCUGGACAACAAAGUGAGACCCCGUCUCU
Molecule: signal recognition particle RNA, 299 nt
Filed under: Aotus nancymaae (Ma's night monkey)
Lineage: Eukaryota; Metazoa; Chordata; Mammalia; Primates; Aotidae
Description: Metazoan signal recognition particle RNA (ENSANAG00000006581.1)
Rfam family: Metazoan signal recognition particle RNA
About the family: The signal recognition particle (SRP) is a universally conserved ribonucleoprotein. It is involved in the co-translational targeting of proteins to membranes.
Source: RNAcentral